AGCAGCCGCGGUAAUUCCAGCUCCAAUAGCGUAUAUUAAAGUUGUUGCAGUUAAAAAGCUCGUAGUUGAAUUUCGGGAUUAGUACGUUGGUCGUGCCUUCGGUACGUACUGGUGUUACUGGUUCCUACCUUCUGACGAACCAUCAUGUCAUUAAUUUGGUGUGGCGGGGAAUCAGGACUGUUACUUUGAAAAAAUUAGAGUGUUUAAAGCAGGCUCGCGCUUGAAUACAUUAGCAUGGAAUAAUGAAAUAGGACGUUGACCCUAUUUUGUUGGUUUCUAGGAUUGACGUAAUGAUUAAUAGGGAUAGUUGGGGGCAUUAGUAUUCAAUUGUCAGAGGUGAAAUUCUUGGAUUUAUUGAAGACUAACUACUGCGAAAGCAUUUGCCAAGGAUGUUUUCAUUAAUCAAGAACGAAAGUUAGGGGAUCGAAGACGAUCAGAUACCGUCGUAGUCUUAACCAUAAACUAUGCCGACUAGGGAUCGGAUGAUGUUAUUUUUAAUGACUCA
RNAcentral lists this ribosomal RNA (505 nucleotides) under uncultured Glomus. RNAcentral describes it as "SSU rRNA". It matches the Rfam family "Eukaryotic small subunit ribosomal RNA", at positions 569 to 1078 of the family's 1831-position model. Lineage: Eukaryota; Fungi; Glomeromycota; Glomeromycetes; Glomerales; Glomeraceae. RNAcentral also lists the same sequence under 1 other name. The record is from RNAcentral.